GCCCUGGUGCUGGGCUCAAGUCGGUAGAGCACAAGACGCUUCAUCUUAGGGUCACGGGUUCGAGUUCCGCAUCAGGCU
Non-coding RNA from Podarcis lilfordi (Lilford's wall lizard), 78 nucleotides. The record is from the annotation of a GenBank genome assembly. NCBI's taxonomy places the organism in Eukaryota, Metazoa, Chordata, Lepidosauria, Squamata, Lacertidae.